Molecule: long non-coding RNA, 255 nt
Filed under: Daucus carota (carrot)
Lineage: Eukaryota; Viridiplantae; Streptophyta; Magnoliopsida; Apiales; Apiaceae
Description: long non-coding RNA (DCAR_LNC000388)
Source: RNAcentral
UCAUUACUCCUAUCCAUGUAACUACGCGAUAAUCAUGGAAACUGAUUGAAAUUUGAAUUUCUGAAAAGAUUUAGUCAUGGACAUGUAUCAAUCAUCCAGAGUAGUGCCUCGCAGCCGCAGACGUUCAAAUCCUCUCAGGGUACCAAGCCUACAUAUUCGUCUUGCUUUCUAAUAUCAUUGCGGAGCUCACAAAACGGCCCGCCUAGGUUCAUACGCUGUAAAUAAUGCACCACUGGAAAAGGACAACACAGUAGG